Molecule: ribosomal RNA, 455 nt
Filed under: uncultured bacterium
Lineage: Bacteria
Description: SSU rRNA
Rfam family: Bacterial small subunit ribosomal RNA
Source: RNAcentral
AGGAUGAACGCUGGCGGUGUGCUUAAUACAUGCAAGUCGAGCGGUAAGGCCUCUUCGGAGGUACACGAGCGGCGGACGGCUGAGUAACGCGUAGGAAUCUACCCCAAACUGAGGAAUAAGCACCAGAAAUGGUGUCUAAUGCCGCAUAUGCUCUUCGGAGUAAAGCUUCGGCGGUUUGGGAAGAGCCUGCGUUCGAUUAGCUUGUUGGUAAGGUAACGGCUUACCAAGGCGACGAUCGAUAGCUGGUCUGAGAGGAUGAUCAGCCACAUUGGGACUGAGACACGGCCCAAACUCCUACGGGAGGCAGCAGUGGGGAAUAUUGGACAAUGGGCGCAAGCCUGAUCCAGCCAUGCCGCGUGAGUGAUGACGGCCUUAGGGUUGUAAAGCUCUUUCACCCACGACGAUAAUGACGGUAGUGGGAGAAGAAGCCCGGCUAACUUCGUGCCAGCAGCCGC